GCUUUGUCUUCAACAUAAUAUAUUUAUUAAAUAAAUGUAACUGUGUAAUCAUGGAAUCUAAGCACAGGAGGAUUUCCAAGCUUCACCUCACAUCAAAUGCAGGCAUCAUAUAGCCUCUAGGCCUUGGGUUAUGUCAGGGAUUUUUGCUUUUCACUUAGACUUGCAGUUGUCUUUCUUAGAAGAUAUGAAACAUGUUGGUCCCACCUCUAGCCAAGUAAAAACAGGUAUGUGAAUAAAAUGACUAUCAAAACAGGUUCUUUUCAAAGCGUUGGAAAUAUUGGAUUUCUCUUGGCUGUGAAUGUAGUGGGAGUCUUGAUGUCUUCGUCAUAUUGGGGAGCUUUUUAUUCAGCAUACUAAAAACAUGUAUCUAGCAAUUUCUAGAGGGUGCCAGGACUUUUCUUGGGGUUAGAGUAAUGAAGAUGAUUAUACAAUGGCCUCUAUCCAGUUGACGCAACUGAUUAGAUUAGCUAAAUGUUACAGGGCACGGUGGUAUAAAAAAAUUCCUGGAAGACGGAAGAUUUUAUUCACCACAUAAGCAGUCAUGGGGUAGGUGUUCCACAACUAGUUGGAUGUGUCAAGGCACAGCAUCCUACAAAAACAUAGUCUGUUUUGAAAAAUUCAGUCUGCCUGAAGGUGGGUGGCUGGAGAAAAACUUGAGAAGUUAGGAGGGACCACAUCACCCAAUACCUGGUUAACCAACUAGGAGAGAUUUAAUGACUACCUGUAUAGCCAGCAGGAACAUUUAAUGUGGGGUACAAGAUCACCUUUGUUCUUUAGGAAGUUUGUAGUCAUUCAUAAAUCCAAAGGAAAAAGCAAAAAUUCAGGCCAUGUUAUGCCUCACAUGUAAAAUAGCCUGCUAUCCAGCCCUGGGCAUUGCAUUAUUCCAGUAAGGGCUAAUGUUGUAUAUUCUUCUCAACUAUUUCAAUAAAAAAUGUGGAGGAUACAUUCCAGUUGAAAGAUCACUUAUUUGAAUUUUACCUUUUAGUGCCAAGAUUGCAGGGAAAAAUAUCAUUUGUGAGCCUCUCGGAAGGUUGGCUGAUCUGCAGAUAGGAUAAAAUAUCCUGCAUGUACUCUCCAUUUGAUUUGUAAUUUACAUAGCAUCUCUUUGUUCAUCAAGGAACACCCUGCAUGACUUCCUGACACUGACCUGGAUUUUACUUAUGGCUGCCCUAAAUUGUGUUAUCAUGGUGUACCGGUUGUUCAGUAUUCAGCCUUGCUCCUCUGUAACUUAAUAUUAUGAUUUAUUUCUGACUUGGCUUUUCUUUAUCGAAUGCUGACUUUUUCUAAGAGGUUCAUGUGGAAAUGUGCUACAUGAAAAAAAAAAAAGGAGCACAGUUUGGCCUCAGGGCAAAAACAUGAAUACUGACCCAGGGACAUGAAUACAGGGCAGAAGAGAGAGUGGCACAGGCAACAAAAUUAACUCAUUUCUUUGCCUUUUGUGUGUUCCUAAGUGUGUGGAGUGACUCAAAUUUUAGCACAGAAAGUAAAGUUAGAAAGCAACUGCUAUUUGCCAACAACCCAUUCUUUAAUUCUCAAAGAUCAAAAAUUUGCUUGAAAACUGACAUUUUCAUUUUCUCCUGGCCCAGUGAACAAAGUUUUAAGGUUAUGUGGUCGCUCUGAUACCACCUAAGAAGCAAAUAUUUCUUGCAGUCUACUUCUAGAUGUGAAUGAACUGAAAGUAAAUGACUCAGAGAUGGAGUAAAUGUCCCUUGAAAUACACCCAAACUUAAUAAUUAGGAGAAGAGUGCUUGAAUAAACACAUUUAGAGUGUUAUUGAGCAUAUACAAGCUUAGAUGGUCCAUAUUUCUAAAAGACAGUGAGUCUAUAGCACAUUCUUCGGAGAUGAGAAAAUUAUGCCAUAAAUAAAAUUUGUAGUGGAGGCAUUUGUUUUAUCAUUCAGUUAAGUAGCAGGAAUUCUUUCAUACCUAGAGGGACUUAGGUAAAACUAAUAAACAGACAUACUUAACAACAAGAACAACAACAACAAAAAUAAAGCAUUACCAUUCAAGAGUGUGAAAUCACUUCUCUGAGAGCCUUUUUGGAUUGAAUAUUCUUUUUGGGCUGGUAAUGUCAAACUAAAACUUUACCUAAACACAGAUAACUAGGUGGCUCUUAGCAUACCUUUCAGGGCUUAUGGUCUCCAAUUAUUCCACUCACAUCCCCCUAUACAUUUCCAAAUCACCUCUUUCAGUGUCUCCAGUGUUUAAACAUGAACUGGAUAGAGUGUUGCAUGGUAGUAUUAAAUAAAAUUUAGCUUAAAGCUGUUUCCUUACAUAUUAUAAGUUCUGUCUAAAGGUUUCUACGUGCAUAGUAUACAUGUCAUUGAAAGUGUAAAUGGACUAUAACCUACUCUGAUACCAAUCACUGAGUUGUGGCCAAUCAAAGGUGGCCAACUGCUCAAACCACAUUCAAAUAUGGCAAAUGCUGAGCUGUAACCAAUCCCGUUGUUUCUGUACCUCAUUUCUGUUUUCUCUCUGUCACUUUUCUUUUUCUUUCCAUAAAUCUUCUUCAACCACCUGGCAGUGCCAGAGUUUCUCUGAACCCAUUCUGGCUUGGGGGAUGCCUGAUUCAUGAAUCAUUCUUUGCUCAAUUAAACUCUGUUUAAUUUAAUUUGUCUAAGGUUUUUCUUUUAACAGUAGAGAUAGGAGUACAACACACUUUGAGGUGUACAGGAGUGAGUUCAAAUCCUAGCUCUGUUAUUGGCUUGAUUUCUCAUCUUGAGCAAGGUACUUAGUUUCUCUGAGCCUUAGUUUCUGCACUUGUAAAUGUGGAGAAGUGAAACACCAGACUUGAGAGGAUGCUCUGCUAUCUGAACGAGGUAAUGGGAAAAUGCUCGGCCAGUGUUGUAACUCAAUCUUCUUAUCCAACAGUGAGCCCCUUGGGCACCCAGACCCAGACUCGCCCUUCUAGUCUCACGUCUUGCACUCUCUGGCACAUCUCAUGUAGGCUCUGUUGCCUGUCAUGUUUUCCAGUCCACAAAUACCCUUGGCAUGCUCUCAUGUCUGUACUUGGUCCACAUUAUUCUAACGUGAAUACAUGAAACUUCUAAUGACAGUGCAAUCUUUCUAGACAAUCUCUGAAGGAGAAAUGUUACUAGUCUGUGGUGAAUAUAAAAAUAGGCUCAUAGGGAAAAAAAACUGUGAUUGAAGGUAUAAUUCUGCAUUUUCUUGGGAUAUACAUAAAUAGCAAGUAGUCAUUUUUUACUUAAAAAAAAAAAAAGAAAUCUACAGAAAGAAAAUUUAGCUGUCUUUCUGUUGCUAACCUUCCAGGAGGCCUUGGUUCUCCUUUAAGGUUGAAGUUCGUUUGUGACAGGUUAGUGCUGCUCAUUUUUGUGGCUUUCCAGAAGCCACCGUGGAAAAGGCAGAAGUCUUCCCCUCCCAUUAUGCUGAGUCAGACAUGGCAUCUACAUGACUCAUCACCAAGUGGUUCUCCAGAAUUCACUUUGCUUGCUUUUCCCCAAUCCAGAUAAUCCUCGGGACUGGUAGCCACCCAACUCACUCCUGCACACUGUUCUUCCUCUUUGGAGGCACCCACCAUGCCUGUCUGAUGCUGCCCCUCAAGGUCACAUCGGAGUCUCCUGUACCUACCUUGUCUGUGGCUACCCAACUCUAUACAAUUUCUGAAGCUUUCAUAACACCCAGAUGGUCUAUAAUGUAAUAUGUGUUUAGAUAAUCCUCAGGCCAAAACAUCUUUCCAAAAUUUAACUGUAAAUCUGUCACUUCCAUGGGUUAUGUUAGUCUUUUCCAUGUUCAAAUGGCUAUCUGAGCUCCUGGGGAGGGGAAGUCACUCCCGGAGUUCUCUUUCCAUCAUUCAUAGUGUGAAUCUCACCUUGGGCUGGGAGGAAUUUGUGAUGGGCAUACAAGUGAGAAAAAGGGUGCAAAGGGGUGAGAUGGUAUGUUAGUCAGGGUUCUCUAGAGGGACAGAAUUAAUAGGAUAGAUGUAUAUACAAAGGGGAAUGUAUUAAGGAGUAUUAACUCACGAGAUCACAAGGUAAGGUUGCAUAAUAGGCCAUCUGCAACCUGAGGAGCAAGGAAGCCAGUCCAAGUCCCAAAGCUGAAGGACCUUGAGUCCAAUGUUUGAGGGCAGGAAGCAUCCAGCAUAUGGGAGAAAGAUGUAGGCUUGGAGGCUAAGCCAGUCUAAUCUUUUUUUUUUUUUUUGAGAUGGAGUUGCCCUCUGUCACCCAGGCUGGAGUGCAGUGGCGUGAUCUCAGCUCACUGCAACCUCCGCCUCCGCCUCGCAGUACCUGAGAUUACAGGUGCAUGCCAACACGGCUAAUUCUUGUAUUUUUAGUAGAUACAGGGUUUCACCAUGUUGGCCAGUUGGUCUGGAACGAACUCCUGACCUCAAGUGAUCCGCCCACCUCAGCCUCCGAAAGUUCUGCGAUUACAGGUGUGAGCCACUGUGCCUGGCCAAGCCUAAUCUUUCCACGUUCUUCUGCUUGCUUUUAUUCUAGUUACACUGUCAGCUGGUUAGAUGGUGCCCUCCCAGAUUGAAGGUAGAUCUGCGUUUCCCAGUCCACUGACUCAAAUGUUAAUCUCCUUUGGCAACGCCUUCACAGACACACCCAGAAUCAAUACAUUGCACCCUUCAAUCCAAUCAAGUUGACAUCCAGUAGUAACCAUCACAGAUGGCUAAUACGGGAGAUAUUCAUGAAGGGUCUGGGAAGGGGAUUUGGAAGAGAUAUGGACACAAAGGAAGGAGGAAAGAAAAGGGGAAGUGAGACGGGAACCAAACCAAACACCCUGUAUUGCACAAUUGAGCCUGGAGUUGGCCUGCUCGCCACAGAGCAGUCACAGGUUUUCAGGAUGCUUUAGUGAUAGCAGCCAUCAGUACCUCUCAUUAGGAGCAAAAGCCCUGAUUGGUAAUAGUAUAUUCUACUUAUUUAGAGAAUAAAAGUUCCCUGUUAGAACCAGCCUUCUCAGAAUGGCAUUCAGCUUUUCAGAAAAGCACAGCACCAGCAUAUUUCUUAUCUGCCUUGAAGGUUAUAAUAAAUCCCUUCUUCUGUUAAUUCAUAAAUCCUUCAGCCACAUGCCAUUUUGGGGCCAUAUGCUUUCUUUCCUCCCUCUAACCCUUGGAAAGAUCUUUCAUAUCCAAUCUCUGUAGAUAAUCUGAAUGUGAAAUCAGGUAUGGUUAUCUAAUCCCUCUAAUCAGAAGGUCAGCAGUUACCUGCAGCUUUUCCAUCUGUCCUCCAGCUGAAUGCUGCCAUUUAGUAAAUCAAAAAUUGGUUACAAAUUAGCAAAGCUGACUGGCUCAAUGAAAUCUAGCCUGGAGUCUUUGCUGGAAGGGGGGAAGUUUAAAUAUGGUUUGAAGGGAGAUUUGAGGUGAACUCUAUUUAUCAAAGCCGUGGAGUAGCAGCAUAAAAGAUGAGAGAUGUUCUCCUGGGUAAAAAUGUCAAAUCACAUGGGAAAUGGGAAUAUUUCACAUGGUGAUUACUGAAUUUUACAAUUGUUCGCAAAUUGAUUCAGCCCAGAAAUCAACUGGGAAGUCUCCCACAGGUGUCUAGCACUCUGCAGGUAUUAGCGUGAUACAGGGUAAGUCUCAAAGUACAAAAAAAAACACACAUGUGAAACAAUUUGCAAACAAUGAAGUGCUAACCUGUGUGGUGUGAAUUACAGAUGCAUUAGGACACCAGAAAAGGAAGAAAAGACAGUGGCAGCUGAAGACAUUUCAGGAAUGCUUCACUGAGAACCUAAGUCUUGUUCUGGGCCAUAAAGAAAAGGGGAGGGUGUGGUUUCUAUACCAGAGAUAAGAAAGGAGAAAAUUGGACGUGGAGGAAAGAUAUGAGUACCAAUCCGAGCGAACAAGGAAGAGUGAGUAAAUCUGUCCAGCUGGAGUUGGAGGUACAUUCUGGAAAAUGGUGAGAGAGGCUGUGUAGGGUAGGGGGACACGGAAAGAUGGGCCAAGACAUUUGGAGCUGAUAUUUGAUAUGGUUUGGCUGUGCCCCCACCCAAAUCUCAUCUUAAAUUGUAAUCCCCAUAAUCCCCACGUGUCGAGGGAGGGACCCGGUGGGAAGUGAUUGGAUCAUGGGGGCAGUUUUCCCCAUGGAAUUCUCGUGAUAGUGAGUGAGUUCUCACGAGAUCUCAUGGUUUUACAAGCGUCUGGUAUUUCACCUGAUUGCACUUCUCUCUUCUGCCUCCUAGUGAAAAAGGUGCCUGCUUCUCCUUCUGCCAUGAUUAUAAGUUUCCUGAGGCUUCCCCAGCCAUGCGUAACUCUCCUUCCCAUUUAUGAGAGAGCCACAUGACAUCAGCCCAUAGACUGUGGAGAGUAUUCCAGAUCUAUCACAUUCUGCGAUUCUGCGAUUCCCAGAAGGCUGGUCAUGAAAAAAUUCCCUCUUCAGUUUACAUAUAUGGCAGUGAUGCACAUUGUUCUUUUGGUUGUGAAAAAUUCGAAGAAGUAGAUGUGGUCCUGGUUGAUGGAUGAACAUUGAGGCCCUCAAGUGCAUAAAGGCACUUCUAGAUAUCUGUUGAGGCCUGGAAGGGGCAAAACAAUUCAGGAAGCAGUUGAAGAUAAAGGGGUUUACCAUGGAAGAGAAGAUCCAGGUGCCUUCAUGGAAAUGCUUGUGGUUGAAAAGAGAUGAAGAUGAGGGUCCCUGGAAAGAGGAAGAACCAGCCAGGAAAAUUAUACCAUUAGCAAGACUGGCAUCAGCAAGUAGUUCGCAGUGUUGGUUGUUCUUGGUUUCGCAGGAUUUUAUAGGAGAUGGACCUUCUCCUAAAAGUCUUAUCUUCUAAGUCUCCUAAGUCUUGGACUUUUCAAGGCCAAAGAUUUAAAGGCCAAGUGGACCAUACGGGAGAUCUAGUUUCCCAUCCAGACAGCCAAGCUCAUGCAUCCCUGGAUUUGGAUGGAUGGUUUCCCAUGGGGCCUUGGACAGAUUGGACCCAGCACUGGCACAGGGUUGACUUGGAGGAAUAAGCUCCUGGAAACCUCAAUUAGCGUUUGGGGUAUGAACAUUAAACAAUACUGAAUCUGGAAACAAUACAUCACACAGCGGGUCCAAGGAAAUAAGCAGAAGGCUGGCAGCAGGCCAGGGCCAGGGGCCAAAUCGCUCCUCAAAGACAAUUCUUCAUGGAGAAAUGACAGCAGGUUUGAGGACAGCAGAAUUUCGCUCUUGUUGCCCAGGGCUGGAGUGCAAUGGUGCAAUCUCGGCUCACCACAACCACUGCCUCCUGGGUUCAAGCGAUUCUCCUGCCUCAGCCUCCUGAGUAGCUGGGAUUACAGGAAGUACAAAAACAUCCUUGCCGUUUGCUGGAAUGAUGUACUGCUGAAGGCAAUGGACACUGGGGUUGUUUGUCCCUAAUCACAAAAUAAUUUGGACCAGUAUUUUUGAAGGAAGACGGAGACACCAGGUUUCAUAUAUCAUGGGGAAUUAAAGGUUGAACUAGACUGAAGCAAAUGGAUGAAAAAAGUAGAAUAUGGUAAAUCCAGAAUAUAAGAUCAAGAAGACAAAGGACAUUAUAUUGUCAGC
RNAcentral lists this long non-coding RNA (7462 nucleotides) under Homo sapiens (human). Its description in RNAcentral is "HSALNT0250484". Lineage: Eukaryota; Metazoa; Chordata; Mammalia; Primates; Hominidae. The record is from RNAcentral.